AGUGAACGCUGGCGGUGGGCCUAACACAUGCAAGUCGAACGGCAGCACAGUAAGAGCUUGCUCUUGCGGGUGGCGAAUGGCGGACGGGUGAGGAAUACAUCGGAAUCUACUUUGACGGGGGGGAUAACGUGGGGAAAUUUCUGCUAAUAGAGAAUAUGUUGUACGGGUGGAAGCAGGAGAUCUUCGGAGUUUGGGCGAUUGAAUGAGCCGAUGUCGGAUUAGCUAGUUGGCGAGGUAAGGGCACACCAAGGCGACGAUACGUAGCAGGCCUGAGAGGAUGAUCCGCCACACUGGAACUGAGACACGGUCCAGACUCCUACGGGAGGCAGCAGUAGGGAAUAUUCCACAAUGGGCGCAAGCCUGACGCAGCCAUACCGCGUGAGUGAUGAAGGCCUUCGGCUCGUAAAGCCCUUUUGUUAGGAAAGAAAAUCAGCGUAUUAAUCCCCCGCUAUCCUGACGGUACCCAAACAAUAAGCCCCGGCUAACUUCGUG
This 492-nucleotide ribosomal RNA is filed under the name uncultured bacterium. RNAcentral's name for it is "partial 16S ribosomal RNA". It matches the Rfam family "Bacterial small subunit ribosomal RNA", at positions 29 to 507 of the family's 1533-position model. The record is from RNAcentral.